AAGCCCAAUAUGAUAAAUAAAGAUAGUAAGAAGGGAAAUAGGGUAGAGGAGACUCAUUUCUAUUUUGCUGGUUUUUUUUCAAAGAAUAGAAGUGGAGGAGAGGAACAAGAAGAGGAAGCUAGGGUUUUGGAGGAGAAAACAAGAGGUUCUGGAGUUUAGUAGCCACGUGUGAUCUAGCCGGAGGUUCUUCCUUGGUUGUUGGAGACUAGGUAGUGAGUCAAUGCUCUGGUCAUGUAACACUGGGUAGACUAGGUGUAUUGAACUCAUGUUAUAUUUGCGUAUGUAUUAUGCUAUGACUGGUGAACUUAUUUAUUGGUUACAUGUCUUUUGAGAGGCUUACAGGCCAAACCAUUUGAUUAUGUUUAUGUUGAAUUGAGAUUACUAGUCGAUGUAUGAUCAUGGUAUGGGACAUGAAUCAUUAUAAAUCACAUGAGUAUCAUA
Molecule: long non-coding RNA, 441 nt
Organism: Vicia villosa (hairy vetch)
Lineage: Eukaryota; Viridiplantae; Streptophyta; Magnoliopsida; Fabales; Fabaceae
Exons: 2
Source: RefSeq, a predicted model, not a curated record